RNAcentral lists this unclassified non-coding RNA (23 nucleotides) under Mus musculus (house mouse). RNAcentral's name for it is "oocyte_clustered_small_RNA213". Lineage: Eukaryota; Metazoa; Chordata; Mammalia; Rodentia; Muridae. The record is from RNAcentral.
CCCUGACUGCAGCUGGGUGAGUG